AAAUGCACAGGCUGUGAACUCGAUGAGUAGGGCGGGACACGUGACAUCCUGUCUGAAUAUGGGGGGACCAUCCUCCAAGGCUAAAUACUCCUGACUGACCGAUAGUGAACCAGUACCGUGAGGGAAAGGCGAAAAGAACCCCGGCGAGGGGAGUGAAAUAGAACCUGAAACCGUGUACGUACAAGCAGUGGGAGCACCUUCGUGGUGUGACUGCGUACCUUUUGUAUAAUGGGUCAGCGACUUAUAUUUUGUAGCAAGGUUAACCGAAUAGGGGAGCCGUAGGGAAACCGAGUCUUAACUGGGCGUCUAGUUGCAAGGUAUAGACCCGAAACCCGGUGAUCUAGCCAUGGGCAGGUUGAAGGUUGGGUAACACUAACUGGAGGACCGAACCGACUAAUGUUGAAAAAUUAGCGGAUGACUUGUGGCUGGGGGUGAAAGGCCAAUCAAACCGGGAGAUAGCUGGUUCUCCCCGAAAGCUAUUUAGGUAGCGCCUCGUGAACUCAUCUUCGGGGGUAGAGCACUGUUUCGGCUAGGGGGCCAUCCCGGCUUACCAAACCGAUGCAAACUCCGAAUACCGAAGAAUGUUAUCACGGGAGACACACGGCGGGUGCUAACGUCCGUCGUGAAGAGGGAAACAACCCAGACCGCCAGCUAAGGUCCCAAAGUCAUGGUUAAGUGGGAAACGAUGUGGGAAGGCACAGACAGCCAGGAUGUUGGCUUAGAAGCAGCCAUCAUUUAAAGAAAGCGUAAUAGCUCACUGGUCGAGUCGGCCUGCGCGGAAGAUGUAACGGGGCUAAACCAUGCACCGAAGCUGCGGCAGCGACACUUAGGCGUUGUUGGGUAGGGGAGCGUUCUGUAAGCCGUUGAAGGUGACCUG
Molecule: ribosomal RNA, 877 nt
Filed under: Yersinia pestis
Lineage: Bacteria; Pseudomonadati; Pseudomonadota; Gammaproteobacteria; Enterobacterales; Yersiniaceae
Description: partial 23S ribosomal RNA
Rfam family: Bacterial large subunit ribosomal RNA
Source: RNAcentral